CUUCCCCUUUGCUUUAUUGCCAAGAAAAAAGAAGAGACAGACACAGCUGAAGAAGAUUGAAAGGCAAUUACUCAUUUCUCCAUUUCCACAAAAUCCAAAACCAAAAGAAAUCCUUUCUUCGUUCUUCGUUCUUCGUUCUUCGUUCUUCAUUCUACCAUUUCCAUUUUCUUCGUAAAAUCUCCAACAAAAUCUUGACAAACUCCAUAUCCCUUUUCAUCUUCCUCUUCUCGACCUAGGGUUUCACUUCCACGUUCAACCCCAUGAACAUCUCAUUUCCUCAUCCAUAACACAAGAUGUACUCACCCAAUAAAAGCCCCUUAGCUUCUCCGACCAGCUCCCGUUCUGUUACAGAGACUAUUAAUGGCUCCCAUAACUUCGUGAUCAAGGGUUAUUCCCUCGCGAAGGGGAUCGGUGUGGGAAAGCAUAUUGCCAGCGAGAAUUUCUCCGUCGGAGGUUAUCAGUGGGCUAUAUACUUUUAUCCUGAUGGUAAGAAUCCUGAGGAUAAUUCGGCUUAUGUGUCAGUGUUUAUUGCCUUGGCUAGCGAUGGCACUGAUGUUCGUGCCUUGUUUGAGCUCACUUUGGUGGACCAGAGUGGUGAUGGAAAACACAAGGUGCAUAGUCAUUUUGAUCGCUCGCUUGAGAGUGGACCUUACACGCUUAAGUACAGAGGUAGCAUGUGGGGCUACAAGCGCUUCUUCCGAAGGACUUCACUUGAAACCUCAGUUUUCCUCAAGGAUGAUUGCUUGAAAAUAAAUUGCACUGUUGGUGUUGUUGUGUCCGGAAUAGACAGUUCAAGACUACAUUCCAUCCAUGUCCCUGAAUCAGAUAUUGGAGCUCAUUUUGGUACAUUGCUGGAAAAUGAGGAGGGUUCAGAUAUCACUUUCAAUGUGUCUGGGGAAAAGUUACGUGCUCACAAGUUAGUACUGGCUGCUCGCUCUCCUGUUUUUGAGAAUGAUUUUGUGAACAUGAUGGAAGAGGAUAAUGAUGAAAUUCUUAUAACAGAAAUGGAACCUCGGGUUUUCAAGGCUUUGCUGCAUUUCAUUUAUAGGGAUACUCUCCCAGAAGAUGAUGAGUUCUUGGAAGCAAGCUCGUCUUCAGUUCCGUCCUUGCCUGAUUCAUUACCUGCAAAGCUGUUAGCUGCUGCUGAUAAAUAUGAUUUGCCCAGACUAAGAUUGAUGUGUGAAUCUGUACUCUGCAAGGACAUAUCUGUGAACUCCGUAUCCCACAUUCUGGCCCUUGCUGAUCUCUAUCACGCUGCUGAUUUGAAGUCUGUUUGCCUAAAAUUUACCGCCGAAAAUCUUGUUGGUGACUUGGGCGACAUUUUACUUUUUUAAUUAGGAUUGCGCCAGUGUGCCCGGCUGCUUUUUCUUCCUCACAUCUUACAAUUGGUCGAAGAAACUCGUGAUUGUUGCCGUAAUGCAAUCCGAUGGGUUUGAGUUUCUCAAAGAAAACUGCCCGUUGCUACAGUCAGAGCUUUUGAAGACAGUUGCCGGGUGUGAAGACGAGGAGCUUAGCGGAGGAGGCAAGAGUCGUAGCGUAUGGGCUCAAUUCUCUGAUGGUGGGGACACAAAUGACAGGAGUGUGAGGCAACAGACAUGGGAAAAUGGAGAAAGGAGUCGAAGCCUGUGGGUGCAGCAUUCCGAUGGUGGCGAUGCAUGCAUACGGAGUCCAAGGAGAGAAGGCUAGCUAACACACAUAAUCGGUAACUUACUAUUGUGGUCUGUAUAAUAACAUUUAUGACAUGAACUUCAGAACUACCGAGUAAAAGCCAAGAAGAUUUGUAGUACUAGAGAAUGUAAAGGGAAAACAUUGCAAGUUGUUUAUCAGAUCUAUUGUAUGUGGAAUCAGAAAAUUGGCAUUUUUGUGCUUUGACUAAAUUGGUAUGGAAGAUGUCAUAAUCUUUGGAAUGGAAUGUUGCUUGACUGAAUAAAGCUUUACUUGUUUAGAACUGAAUGAAUUUCUGUAAUUGAACUUC
Molecule: RNA transcript, 1975 nt
Organism: Cucumis sativus (cucumber)
Lineage: Eukaryota; Viridiplantae; Streptophyta; Magnoliopsida; Cucurbitales; Cucurbitaceae
Gene name: BTB/POZ and MATH domain-containing protein 4
Exons: 5
Source: RefSeq, a predicted model, not a curated record